AUGUGCAUACUCCAUAGAAAAAAACACCAAAAAAAGGAGGGGGUGAGGAGGAGUUGGAGGAGCAGGAGGAGGAGGAUUGGAGCGCAGGGGAGUUUGGAGGUUAUUAUGGCGCUGAAUUAUCCGUCGUGCUCAUUCUUGGUGAGCGACGAGUGCUCUGCCCUGAUGCGAGGGUGUGGAUGCUGGUCGGAGGAGGCCUCGCCCCUCUCGUCCCCAGGGGUCAACUCCAGGCGCUGGGAUGAUUUCGAGCCCGAUCCUGCGGAUCUAUUGCCCGUGGAUCCCUUCGGGAUGAACUUGGGGAACACCAUCACUGCAGCCAUCGCCAGUUGCCUCGACCGCACGGUCAUGUCUGGUGCAGGGCGUUUUGGAAGCAGUGACGGUGGCGCGGCCGACUUGAGUUUUUACCUGAAUCAUGCUAUUGCCGUCUCCCGGGGGCCAUCUUGCCUCCCGGGUGGCUUCGGGCGUGCUUUUGAGGGGCCCUUUGUGUUUGGAGGCCUUUAUGAGGCCGGAGGCGCCAACUGCUCUCAAGGGUUGCCUCCCCUUGUGUCCUGCUCAGGCUCAAUUGUACCUGGAGAGGAUCCAUCUACUUCUGGCAGUGCUGCAUUGUUGUGCCGUGAAGGAGUUGAUGCUGUGGGAGCGUCCUGCUCACGCCCAAUUGUACCUGGAGAGGAUCCAUCUACUUCUGGCAGUGCUGCAUUGUUGUGCCGUGAAGGAGUUGAUGCCGUGGCAGCGUCCUGCUCACGCCCAAUUGUACCUGGAGAGGAUCCAUCUACUUCUGGCAGUGCUGCAUUGGUGUGCUGUGAUGGAGUUGAUGCCGUGGGAGCGUCAUGCUCACGGCCAAUUGUACCCGGAGAGGAUCCAUCUACUUCUGGCAGUGCUGCAUUGGUGUGCUGUGAUGGAGUUGAUGAUGUGGGAAGUGCACCACAUGACGGGAUGAUGUAUGCUCUUGCCUAUCUUGGGCUUCGUGACAUCCUAGCUACAGAGAUGGUGUGCAAGUCUUUGCAUUCGUGGAUCCGCAGCGAGUUAUCGUGGAAAUGUAUCCACAUUGAACCGGUAUUGAGCGGGAAGAUCUCUGAUCCUGAUCUUCUAUUUCUGACACAGAAGAUUCCAGGUGCUUUGCAGUGUCUAAAUAUAAAUGACUGCAUAAAUAUCACCGACAAUGGUUUGAAUGCUGUUCUCCAAAGCAAUCCGACGUUAACAAAGUUGAGUAUUGCGCGCUGCCCGCGGUUAACUUUGGAUGGCCUUAUUGCCAAUCUAAAGUCAUUUAAUAUGAAAGCAGUGUCGGGUAUUAAGAGCCUCAGAAUUGACAAAAACUUCAAUUUACCAAAAGAGGAUUAUGAGGAGUUAUUAUCCUUGUUGAGCAUCGACAAGAGACAGGAGUUGCACAACUGGGCUCCGCGAUUCCGUCAUUCUAAUCAUUUUUUAUUAGAUUGCAAUGACGGAUAUGCUCUUGAUAUUGAGAUGUGCCCCAUCUGUCAAAGUUACAAACUUGUUUUUGACUGCCCUGAAGUGGAGUGCAGUGACAAGAGAUCUGGCAAGUGCCGAGCAUGUGAGGUUUGCAUCAAGAGAUGCCGGCAGUGUGGAAGGUGCUUAGAACGAAAUGAGAAGUUUGAAGAGAAAUUUGAUCUGGUCUACCUUUGCUACAAGUGUCGAGGCGAUCCGGCUUCACCAUCUCUUGGUGUGGAAAAGGAUCUGGUCUCUAUUUUAUCCAGUGGAAGAAUAGCUUCUCCUUGA
RNAcentral lists this ribosomal RNA (1731 nucleotides) under Triticum aestivum (bread wheat). RNAcentral describes it as "partial small subunit ribosomal RNA". Lineage: Eukaryota; Viridiplantae; Streptophyta; Magnoliopsida; Poales; Poaceae. The record is from RNAcentral.